UCUCCCCACCCCUUGGAAACACCUAUUGAUAUGGAGAUGCACUAAGGCCAGGUGAGAGAUUCUGGAAAUAUUGCAAUUGUAACCACAAUGCCUCUAAAUUUCUUCCUGAAGAGUGAAAAUGAAAAUGGACCCUUGCCUCCAAGGGGAUGGUAAAGCAUUGUCUCAUUCAUCCUGACGUGAAAAGGAGACUUGAAAGGGUCUUACUUGUAUUGUGUCUGGAGGAAACAUGAGAGCAAAGAAAAAUAUCAUUUAUGUACCUCCCAGGUGCAUAGAAAUGUAAAUCAUGGACACUUGAUAUCUGAACUGUCAAGAACCUGACUAUAAAGUUGGCAGCUGUUCAGCAAAGUUGUCAUUGCCAAGUCAUUAUUAAAUUCCUCCAUAAAAUAUCCCAUUGGUUGAGUAAGGAGAAAAUUUUGGUAAGUGCCCAGAAUUCCACUUGAAAUUUGUAUAUUGUUUCCAUAUAUGAGACUAAUAAAGAUAUGCCCUCUGAAAC
Manis javanica (Malayan pangolin) is the source of this 493-nucleotide long non-coding RNA. RefSeq lists it as uncharacterized. The record is from RefSeq and is a predicted model, not a curated record. Lineage: Eukaryota; Metazoa; Chordata; Mammalia; Pholidota; Manidae.